GGGGACUCCUGGGUGGGCUGCCUGGGCCUGUUUCCUCGCCUUUGGGCCAAGUCCCAGGCAAAGAGGAGCCCCAGAUGCAGACCCAAGAGGAGACAGGCACUGGAAGGACCUCACCAGCCCCAGAUCACAGGGCCACCCCAAGUGGACAGAGGACAGUCCAUGGCGGCCUCCACUGAGCACCUGCGCCCUCCCCGCAGUGCCCAUCACUGAGUGCACAGGUGUGAGGCUGCGUUGUGUGCUAGAAACAGAGCCUCAGGGAGGGGAACUGACUUCAGAC
Molecule: long non-coding RNA, 277 nt
Filed under: Homo sapiens (human)
Lineage: Eukaryota; Metazoa; Chordata; Mammalia; Primates; Hominidae
Description: non-protein coding lnc-KRT80-5:1
Source: RNAcentral